GAUGAACGCUGGCGGCGUGCCUAAUACAUGCAAGUCGAGCGAACAGACGAGGAGCUUGCUCCUCUGACGUUAGCGGCGGACGGGUGAGUAACACGUGGAUAACCUACCUAUAAGACUGGGAUAACUUCGGGAAACCGGAGCUAAUACCGGAUAACAUGUUGAACCGCAUGGUUCAACAGUGAAAGACGGUCUUGCUGUCACUUAUAGAUGGAUCCGCGCCGCAUUAGCUAGUUGGUAAGGUAACGGCUUACCAAGGCAACGAUGCGUAGCCGACCUGAGAGGGUGAUCGGCCACACUGGAACUGAGACACGGUCCAGACUCCUACGGGAGGCAGCAGUAGGGAAUCUUCCGCAAUGGGCGAAAGCCUGACGGAGCAACGCCGCGUGAGUGAAGAAGGUCUUCGGAUCGUAAAACUCUGUUACUAGGGAAGAACAAAUGUGUAAGUAACUAUGCACGUCUUGACGGUACCUAAUCAGAAAGCCACGGCUAACUACGUG
RNAcentral lists this ribosomal RNA (497 nucleotides) under uncultured bacterium. RNAcentral's name for it is "partial 16S ribosomal RNA". It matches the Rfam family "Bacterial small subunit ribosomal RNA", at positions 28 to 507 of the family's 1533-position model. The record is from RNAcentral.